UUUUGUACAAAUGGGAUCUCACUAUGUUGCCUAUGCUGGUCUUGAACACCUAGGCCCAACGAUCCUCCAGCCUCGCCUUCUAAAGUGUUGGGAUUCCAAGAGUGAGCCAUGGUGUCUGGCCUCAAAAAUCUUUAAUACCUUUAUAGAGUUGUGCAAUCAUCACCACAAUCCAGUUUUGAGACAUUUCCAUUACUCCAAAAAGAUCAUUCAUGCCAUUUGCAGUUAACCACCACUCCCAUCUCCAACCUCAGCUACUGUUGAUCUUGCUGUUUGCACAGAUUUGCCUUUAUGGGAAGUUUCAUAUAAAAAGAAUCAAACAAUAUGUGGCCUUUUGCAUCUGGCUUCUUUCACUUAAUGCUUUUGAGGCGUAUGCAUGUUGUAGUGAGUAUCAGGUGUACGUCAUGUAUACGCAGGAAUAUCUGUCCCUUUGCUGUCGGGGAGGACGCCAUCGCAUGGAGGUCCUGCAUUUUGUUUUUCUGUUUCUCAGUUGACGGUCAUGUGGAUUGUUUACAGGUCUGGGCUAUUAUGAAUAAUGCCACUAUGAACAUCUGUGUCCAGGUUUCUGAGUGGACACACACGGCUAAUUUUAUAAUAAAAAAAACAAAACCAAAGGACCAAAAUGAAUUCUGGAACUGUUUCUGGAAUACGUUUCCUUUUACCAAAAUGGGAAUUCUAAUAGCAGGGCAGGAAAUGUAAAGUAGGAGAGAAAGAAGUGGGCUCACAGCAGCCUUUCCCCUCCUCGGAUUUGGGAACAAAGAGGCAGGAUUGUCCCACUCUAGAAGUGGCUCAUAUUCGCACAGUUCAUCCAAAGCUACAGAACACGCUCAACAUCCCAUCUGCCCCGCGGCACCUCUGAUAUCGAUCUCAAUCCAAACACCCACCCCUCUCUUGAGUCUCUUAGUUCAAGGACAGCAAAUUCAGGACAUCGCACUUCCCUGCCCCUGAUGCAUUUAGUGAGAGCGGGGGUUUGAGUUUGGAUGACUGUGGAGAAAAGCCCCAAGCACCAGUGUCAAUUCCUGGGCUGAGACUUUAAGGUUUAGCAAUUCAAGUGUUUCAGCUAGGUCCCUUCCCAGUGUACAAAGGUCAAAGUUUGCAGUUAUGGAAGGAAAAGGAUCAGAAAAAACCAUGGAAAAUAGGAUCUGGUUCUAUAAGCAGGAAAGAGAUGCAGGAAACAAUUUAGAGGAAAAGAGGCAAAAAGUAUACUGGCUCUCCAAGCUGGGGUGUCUUAUUCACCAAGAAGUGGCGAGAAGCAGACAGACAGCACGUUUUGUCGGGGGACAGUGGUUUUUGUUUUUUUGUGUUUUUUUUGAGACAGAGUCUCACUGUAUUGCCCAGGCUGGAGUGUAGUGGUGCAAUCUCGG
This 1361-nucleotide long non-coding RNA is filed under the name Homo sapiens (human). RNAcentral's name for it is "non-protein coding lnc-LYZL1-8:1". Lineage: Eukaryota; Metazoa; Chordata; Mammalia; Primates; Hominidae. The record is from RNAcentral.